Molecule: signal recognition particle RNA, 284 nt
Filed under: Carlito syrichta (Philippine tarsier)
Lineage: Eukaryota; Metazoa; Chordata; Mammalia; Primates; Tarsiidae
Description: Metazoan signal recognition particle RNA (ENSTSYG00000029454.1)
Rfam family: Metazoan signal recognition particle RNA
About the family: The signal recognition particle (SRP) is a universally conserved ribonucleoprotein. It is involved in the co-translational targeting of proteins to membranes. The eukaryotic SRP consists of a 300-nucleotide 7S RNA and six proteins: SRPs 72, 68, 54, 19, 14, and 9.
Source: RNAcentral
GCCAGGCGCAGUGGUGCAUCCUGUAGUUCCAGAGACUCAAGAGGCUGAGGCAGGAGGAGCACUUGAGACCAGGAGGUCUGGGCUGUGGUGCGCUAUGCCAAUCAGACACCCCCACUAAGUUUGUCAUCAAUAUGGUGACCCCCCGGGAGCAGGGGACCACCAGGUUGCCUAAGGAGGGGUGAACAGGCCCAGGUCGGAAACUGAGCAGGUCAAAACUCCUAUGCUAACCAGCAGAAACAAAUGGAGUACAUAUCAGAGCCUGAAUUAGAUCUCACAAGGUCAUU